CCCCUCUAAUCAUCAUAUAUCUUACAGGUAACAAACCAAAGGAUGAGGACAGUAGCUUUUCUGUGCCAGCCGUGGUACAUACAGGAACAUCCUUCGUGAAGAUGCGUCAGAGAAGCAUCCCAGUGUCAAUGAAGAUGGUGUGGUCAGUGGAAUUCUGCUGUUCAUGGGAAAUCUGAAGGAACAUCUCCCAGUAUUCUACUACCAUGUUGCCCUGAUGAUUGAGGAAUUUUUUCGGACUUUCCGGCCUCUUUGGAACAUUUCCGUUCAUACAGACUGUGGAGAGAUGGUGUGCAGCUUCAUGACAUGUGAAGUUUAGUUCACAGACAGCACUUUCCAGCAAGUUCAUUUGGAUUAAUUUUUUUAAAUAACUAAUUUAUUUAUUUAGUCAAACUUGCAUUCACUAAUGCUGGAGUAAGAUUUUAGAAGAAAACUUUAAGUCCUGUUUAAUGUUGGUGCUAGUAAAGGUUUGAGAACUAAUGGCC
Molecule: long non-coding RNA, 482 nt
Organism: Cyprinus carpio (common carp)
Lineage: Eukaryota; Metazoa; Chordata; Actinopteri; Cypriniformes; Cyprinidae
Source: RefSeq, a predicted model, not a curated record